This is a long non-coding RNA of Neopsephotus bourkii (Bourke's parrot), 2588 nucleotides long. RefSeq lists it as uncharacterized. The transcript has 3 exons. NCBI's taxonomy places the organism in Eukaryota, Metazoa, Chordata, Aves, Psittaciformes, Psittacidae. The record is from RefSeq and is a predicted model, not a curated record.
ACAUGGAGCAAAAUGGGCUCCACAUGCCUACUGCUCGAGGGUGAAAACUAGAAGCCAGGAGGUAUGUACUCAGGUUCCUGACUACAUUUUAAUGAGACAGAGAGGGGGAAAAUUAUACUCCUCAGUGUGGAAAUUCUGGGGAUCCGGAAUUCAGAGUAAGAGCAAUUAAUAAAUAAUGAGUAGAGUUGUAAAGAAAAUAAAUUUUUCAAGGACUCUGGAAAACAUACUUAGAGCUGCAGUCUGGAACCUGCAGACAGAGUAAUUGCAAGCAUCAUGUACCUGCUUACAUGAAUCAGAAGUUUAUUAAUUAGCUGUUUCUAAAAUACCUUUUACAGCUGAUGGGAUAUUAAUGAAGUGGCUUGUGUUCCCACCCCAGCAGUUCUCUGUACAACAACCCUCCAUAUGCAGGGGAGAGCAGUAAUGGGAGAAGGUGAGCCUGCCUGUGCAGAGCUGGGGGAUGCUCCUGUUCUGCAAGAACAAAAUCGUGAUUUCUUAUGUGGUGAGUUCUACCAAACUGUAUUCAAGUAGUAGGGUCUUUUUUAAGGCUUAUGUUGAGAAUGUGUUGCCCUGUUGCUACCUUGCUACAUACCCCUGCUUUUACAUUCUCUUUGUGCCAAGAGAAGGUGGUUCCCACUUGAGGACUGACUAAUAUUUCUUCGUAACAGCCUUUUGGGUGGUUUUGACAUCUGUUUUUUUCCAUAAAUCUCCUCCUCAGUUUAGGAAUACUGUUAUACCCUUUUCCACAGUCAGACACUUCAGGACAACCUCUAGUCACUGUGGAAGUGCAGAGUUACAAUCCAAAUGGAAAUGAAAACAAUUAAAUUUAUAUGACAAGCAGGUUGCCUUGACAGCUCCAAGCAAGAUGACAACGGAUGUCCUGUAAAUAUUUAAAGAUGGAGUCUGACCCUCUCCCCUUUUGGUGCUACACUGCAUAAAGGUAAAGACAGGCAGCGAUCUUCCAAUGUUUAAAUAUGUCAAUUCUGAAAAGGAGGAGCACAACCUGGCUGUUGGCUCCUUGGUCCCGGCAGGGCUGCUUACUGUGUUCCACUGGUCCCACUAAACCAAAACCUCGUGUGAACUGAGGUGAAAAUCUCUCUGCUCCAUGACAAUGCAAGAUCUAGUACAAUGGUGUCCAUGCCUUCAGUCGGAGCCUGUAAACAUCACUGUGGUACACAGCGAAAGUAAAGAUAUAAAUGGACCUUUUGUUUUAUCUUUCAAUAAACUACAAAUGCAGAAAAAUAAAGGUAAAAUAAAAACAUCCAUUCACUUCAAUGGGAUCAGAGGAGUUCAGAUGUUUGGGUAAGUUUUCUUUUACUAUUCCCUUCCUUAACUUUGAUAGGUAUCACUAACUGGAGUUGUAGAUUGUGAGGGUUCUAGUGGUAAGCAAAUAAGAAGCAAUAAAAAUGGCUGUUGCAAUACUUGUACAAUGAAGAGACAAUUUUCAGGACAACUAUAGUUAAGUAAUUAUGAACAGGACCAAUGUUUCCACUGAAUAAAUUCAUAUUAGAUUAUUCCCUAAUUCUAAUGAUUAUUUAAGGGACAAAAGUCAUAGAAUAAUAUACUCUAGAAGACAUAUCUAUCUCCAAAGUCCCUGAAACAAUGCUUAAAUCUUCAGUUAUUACUCACCUUUAACAUAGUUCUCAUCAAUGGCACUAUAAGCCUUAGAGCUGACACUUUGGAUAAGUACAUGAUACAGUUCAGCUCUAAAACCCUUAACAGAAAAUACAUCAGGACUUACUGUAAAAUUUCAUGGAGGAUUAGAGAAAAUAUUAAGUCAAUAGUUCUUUAGUUAUUAGGGGCUUUUAAAGUAAUCAAUACUUUCCAACCAUAUUAGUGCCAACAGUGAUGAAAGAUGACAUUAACAUCUAACUCUUCUUUUUUUGAUACAUUUAUGGAUAUCCUUUCUUUAGUCAGUCCUGCUGGAGUCAAUAGCGAUACAAAGAAUAUGGAUAGUUUUAAAUGUCAUCAGUAUUGAUUUGCUUAUUACAGCCAGUUUCAAGUAGAACUUGAUUUCAGGAAAAAAAUUACUUUUCCAUACAAAAGAAUUACCGAUCACCUUAAAACUUUGGAGUACCACCUGACUUUGCUUAUGGUGAUCUUCACAUUUAGCAGUGUGCUAAUGCAGCGAAAACUGGUUUAGGAUUAAUAAACCCUAAAAAUAGGAUUAAUAGGAUUAGUUCUAAGAGUUCUUUAGAGUUACAUGACAUUUUAUGCCCUUAAAGCAUUGCACAGACGUUAAUUACAUUUAAUUGAUAUCAUUCAGCCUGAACUUAUAUGCGUGCAGUUAUUAAUGAUUUAAUUAUUUUGUCAGUGGAAUAGAUUCUUUGCCUUUGACUCUGUUUCAUAAAAUUGAGAUGGUCAGCCCGUGUACAGUCUUUAGGCUCAAUCCUUUUUAUUCAGGCAACUAUGGAAUACGCUAAUAUGGAAUGUGGAAUAUGGUCAAAUGACAAAAUUUCCUGCACAUUUUUCUGGUUGUGCAGUUCCCCAAGCCACUUAUUUGAUUGCAAUCAAAUACUACAGUUUCAAUGAGCCCAACCACACAACAGAAAUAUUACAAAUGUAGCUGUAUCUCUUUGCCUGUGAUUGCC